CCUACGGGAGGCAGCAGUGGGGAAUAUUGGACAAUGGGCGAAAGCCUGAUCCAGCCAUGCCGCGUGUGUGAAGAAGGCCUUCGGGUUGUAAAGCACUUUCAGUGGGGAAGAAAGCCUUGGGGCUAAUACCCUCGAGGAAGGACAUCACCCACAGAAGAAGCACCGGCUAACUCCGUGCCAGCAGCCGCGGUAAUACGGAGGGUGCGAGCGUUAAUCGGAAUUACUGGGCGUAAAGCGCGCGUAGGCGGUCUGAUAAGCCGGUUGUGAAAGCCCCGGGCUCAACCUGGGAACGGCAUCCGGAACUGUCAGGCUAGAGUGCAGGAGGGGAAGGUAGAAUUCCCGGGGUAGCGGUGAAAUGCGUAGAGAUCGGGAGGAAUACCAGUGGCGAAGGCGGCCUUCUGGACUGACACUGACGCUGAGGUGCGAAAGCGUGGGUAGCAAACAGGAUUAGAUACCCGGUAGUC
RNAcentral lists this ribosomal RNA (464 nucleotides) under Vreelandella stevensii. RNAcentral's name for it is "partial 16S ribosomal RNA". It matches the Rfam family "Bacterial small subunit ribosomal RNA", at positions 338 to 795 of the family's 1533-position model. Lineage: Bacteria; Pseudomonadati; Pseudomonadota; Gammaproteobacteria; Oceanospirillales; Halomonadaceae. The record is from RNAcentral.